AAAGGAAUAGACGGGGGCCCGCACAAGCGGUGGAGCAUGUGGUUUAAUUCGAUGAUACGCGAGGAACCUUACCUGGGCUUAAAUGGGAAAUGACAGUUUAGGAAACUAGACCUUCUUCGGACAUUUUUCAAGGUGCUGCAUGGUUGUCGUCAGCUCGUGCUGUGAGGUGUCGGGUUAAGUCCCAUAACGAGCGCAACCCCUAUUCUUAGUUGCCAGCGAGUAAAGUCGGGGACUCUAAGAAAACUGCCGGUGCAAACCGAGAGGAAGGUGGGGAUGACGUCAAAUCAUCACGGCCCUUACGUCCAGGGCUACACACGUGCUACAAUGGUGCAUACAAAGGGCAGCUAUCUGGUGACAGAAUGCUAAUCUCUAAAGUGCAUCUCAGUUCGGAUCGAAGUCUGCAACUCGACUUCGUGAAGCUGGAAUCGCUAGUAAUCGCGUAUCAGCCAUGACGCGGUGAAUACGUUCCCGGGCCUUGUACACACCGCCCGU
Molecule: ribosomal RNA, 492 nt
Filed under: uncultured bacterium
Lineage: Bacteria
Description: bacterial SSU rRNA
Rfam family: Bacterial small subunit ribosomal RNA
Source: RNAcentral